Molecule: non-coding RNA, 28 nt
Filed under: Mus musculus (house mouse)
Lineage: Eukaryota; Metazoa; Chordata; Mammalia; Rodentia; Muridae
Source: RNAcentral
UUAAAAGUCCCUUGCUUCAGACCUCAUU